This 253-nucleotide ribosomal RNA is filed under the name uncultured bacterium. RNAcentral describes it as "partial 16S ribosomal RNA". It matches the Rfam family "Bacterial small subunit ribosomal RNA", at positions 524 to 776 of the family's 1533-position model. The record is from RNAcentral.
UACGUAGGGUGCGAGCGUUGUCCGGAAUUACUGGGCGUAAAGAGCUCGUAGGUGGUUUGUCGCGUUGUUCGUGAAAACCGGGGGCUUAACCCUCGGCGUGCGGGCGAUACGGGCAGACUUGAGUACUGCAGGGGAGACUGGAAUUCCUGGUGUAGCGGUGGAAUGCGCAGAUAUCAGGAGGAACACCGGUGGCGAAGGCGGGUCUCUGGGCCGAUACUGACGCUGAGGAGCGAAAGCGUGGGUAGCGAACAGG